Molecule: long non-coding RNA, 2539 nt
Filed under: Canis lupus familiaris (dog)
Lineage: Eukaryota; Metazoa; Chordata; Mammalia; Carnivora; Canidae
Description: lncRNA (ENSCAFG00000050284.1)
Source: RNAcentral
UUGUCAAAUAUCCUAUUAGCAUUCUAACUUCUAAUUGUCUCAAAAUGUCAUAAUUCUUAUAACCUAUUUUUAAAAUCAGGCUUGAAAUAAGGUGCUUACACUGUAAUUGUUUCUUUAUCCUUUUUGUUGCUUUAUAUCAUUAGGGUACUCCUCCGUCCCUUUUCUCUUAAAAUUUAUUUCAUAAAACAAAUUAGGUUUUAAAAUAAACUAUAACUAUAGGAAAUACAAUUUAAAUACAAUUUAAACAAUUUAAACAAUCUAAACUUGGUUUUUGUUUUUCAAAAACUUAAUAUCUAAUUAAAACAAAUUAGGUUUUAAAUAAACUAUAACUAUAGGAAAUACAAUCUAAAUACUCUCUAAGCACUCUAUAUGCCAGCAUUCCUAUAGCUGGUAGGGGCUACCAAUAAGACGUUACUCCUUGCCCUCAAGCUGCUUGCUCUUUGAAGAGUCAGAACUACAAAUACAGUGUGACGGGCGCUCCAGUUGUUUCUGCAGCCCAGUUACACAAUAAAGAAAGAAUUACCUCCUCAUGCUCCAUUUCUAAAGCUAUACUUGACUUCUGAAUCCCCCAGUAAUCUGAGUCAAUGUGGACAUUCUAUGCUUUGAGGAUUAUUUCCAGCUCAGCACUUCCUCACACAGGAACAACAAUACCCUCUCAUUACAGAACUUCUGUUCUUCAGAAGGCACUGAUUCCAGUCCUCUAUGUCUGCACACAUUAUCACCUUCAUCAAUUAACCUCAUGUUUGUAAAGCAUCCAUUGAGCUCCAGUUCACUGUGCAUGAUGUAUGAAUGACCAGCUGCUGCACCAGGUGAGCACAUACAGGCAUAUACUCAGACAGUGCAAAUGUGACCUCACUGUGCCCCCAGGAGCUAUUCCUUCACACUCUUAGAACAAAAAGUUGGCUUUACAGUAUUGACUUCUUCAUUGAAAAAUCAAAGGCCUUUUCUCCCUCCUCAGUCUAUCUGAGAGUUUCAUAUAAUCCUUUCUAAGAACCCACAGGAAAUUUUGAUGCAUCCUUGUCAGGUCAGGAAAGCCUUGCAGCCAGGUCUCCUCUCAAACAGGGUAAGACUUCAUCUUGCCCAGAUUCUGCAUCACUGCUAUCCAAGCAGUCUGCAGUUAGCUUCUGCUUAAGCAUACUAAUCUGUCAGUAGACCCGAAGACCUAUAGCAUAUACUCCUCCAGAGUUGCUGCCUUCCUUAAGCAUCCUACCUCAUCGAUAUCCAAGCUAUCCUUUUUAGGAGAUGGUGGGAAUCUAUAGUAAGCCUCUGAAAUAUGUGACUCUGGGAAUUGUGUACAAGGAGAAGUCUAAGCCCAAGAGAAAUAUGGGAUCCCCGGUGAUCCAACAGGAAGUAGCAGAUGCAGGCAGUCAGGGAAGGUACAGAGGCUGGGGAGACAUGGUGGGCUAGUACAUUAGCUACGCUGCAUAGAGUCAGUCUUCCUCUUAACACUGUGUAUCCAAUAAACGGUAAAUCCUGUGGGUUCCUCCUUCAGAAUAUUUCCACGAUCUGACUCCUCUUCCUUAUCCUCACCAUAUACACCAUACCUGCAGCCAACAUCAUCUCCUAACUAGAUCAAUGUCAUGGCCUUCUAACUGGUCUGCCUACUUCCUCACCAGAUAUUGUCCUGUCUCUGGACCUUUGCAUUUGCAGUUUCCUCUGCCUGAAGUUCCUCCCUAACAUGCCCUUGCUGCUCACUCUGCACCUCUUUCAGGUCCUUGUUCAAAUGUUACUUUGCUAGUGAAGCCUUCCUCCAAACCCCCACUCUUAGAAAUCACACACACACACACACACACACACACACACACUCACACUCACACUCCCAUCCAUUUCUUCCUGUUAACUUCCCUAGCUAAUUUUUCUUCACUUUGUUAUACACCUUAUUUUUUCUUUUGCAGUUUGCUUAUGGUCUGUUUCCCAUCUUCUCCCUAGAAGGUUAGGUAGCUAAUGAGGAUGUGAAUUUUGUCUUUUUGCUCACCUCUGUGUUCUUACUGCCUAUAAUAAGUAACCCAGCACAUAGGAGCCUGGUAAAUGCUGAAUGAAUCAAUAAUCAAUGACUUCCCCUCUCAAAGAGUUAGGGAGACUUCUAUGUGACACCUAGUUAGGCAUAACUCUUCUCUUCUAGAUACUGAAACACAGUGAUACUUUAAUGCUGAUAGCAAAGGUGUAUCUAAUAAGCUUAUGAAUUGAAUUGGGAAUGUUAGCUGUUGGAGGGGGUCCUUGGUAAAUUGGGGCAAGACUCAGCUAAAAUUCUUAGUUAUACUAAGGUUUCUCAGUGUAAUAAGGAGAAAAUACUAGAGAAGAAGGAGGCAUGGCUAUAUGCCAUUGCAGUUUAGUUUGGUUUAAAAUAAACCUGGUGGGGCACCUGAGUGGCUCAGUGGUUGAGCAUCUGCCUUUGGCUCAGGUUGUGAUCCUGGAGUCCUAGGAUCGAGUCCUGCAUCAGGCUCCUUGCAGGGCAGCCUGCUUCUCUCUUUGUCUAUGUCUCUGCCUCUCUCUGUGUCUCUCAUGAAUAAAUAAAUAAAAUCUUAAAAAUAAAAUAAAA